Molecule: ribosomal RNA, 388 nt
Filed under: uncultured bacterium
Lineage: Bacteria
Description: bacterial SSU rRNA
Rfam family: Bacterial small subunit ribosomal RNA
Source: RNAcentral
AAGUCGAACGGGCCUGGGUUUUACUCAGGUUAGUGGCGCACGGGUGCGUAACGCGUACACAACAUACCCUUGACUGAGGGAUAGCGGUGGGAAACUGCCAGUAAUCCCUCAUGGUCUUCUGAGUUGGCAUCGGCUCGGGAGUAAAGCUGAGGCGGUCGAGGAUUGGUGUGCGUCCGAUUAGCUAGUUGGUAGGGUAACGGCCUACCAAGGCGACGAUCGGUAGGGGGUGUGAGAGCAUGGCCCCCCACACGGGUACUGAGACACGGACCCGACUCCUACGGGAGGCAGCAGUAAGGAAUAUUGGACAAUGGUCGCAAGACUGAUCCAGCCAUGCCGCGUGCAGGAAGAAGGCCCUCUGGGUUGUAAACUGCUUUUGGACGGGAAUAAA